CUACUGUAUAUAUAUUUUCCUUUGGCGCUAAAAAAACAGUUUUUCAAAACAUUUUUGUCGUGUGUAAAUUAUUAUACGGGGAAAAAAAAAACAAUUCUUACAAAAAUCUACGGAAACACUAUAAAUUCCAAAGCAAUUCUUAAACAGUGUCGAUUCCCCACUAUGCCCCGCUUUUCGCUGAUUGCCUCGCUUACUUAACACUCUAGUCGACUAGUACCUUCUAAUGCAUGGCAGUUGGACCACACGAGGUAGUUGGUUGAAGUUUGUUCUGCAUUGGGAUUAUUUCUGCUUAAAAUAUUACCAAAGAUGUGACGUCACGAAGUGGUGACGACACAAAAGAAGAACUCACUUCGUUUAGUAUGUGACGUCACAGAGGAUCAACCGGUCAGAUGCGCGUCAUGCAAGAAUAAAGAUAAUUGAAGAAGGAACAGAAAAUAAGCGCAAGACGAAAGUAAAGAAUAGACGAAAACGCUGUUGAAGAAUUCAUGGUUUGAAGUUUAAGGUUUAUAAAGUAUGAGUUGUGUGUUUUGAUAUCUGUUUGUUUGUAUGUGUCGGUUACUUUAAUCUGCUGGAUCUAAUGUUGCCAGCAAUUUUUAAUCAGUCACUAUCAUAGUGCAUUUUACAUAUCUAUGAAAUACAUACAAAAAAAACUAUGGCGAACAUCUUGCUGGAUAGAUUUUAAUCGUUUUUCAGUUUUGAGUCAUUUUUUGGCGUUUCUGUACGAUUUUAAUAGAUUGUUGGUACACAAAUACUCAAGUAAUAACAACACGCAGUAUAAUAUGCGCAUAAACUCCAUUCUCACAAUAAUUCCCUCUUCCCCAAUUUUAUAUUUAAAUUUAAGUUAAAACAACAAGUUAUAGUAAUAUUAACGCACAGUAUAAUAUGCACGUUAAUGCUGUCUUUGCAUUAAUCAAAUUUAUUUCCCAAUUUUGUAC
This is a non-coding RNA of Ciona intestinalis (vase tunicate), 935 nucleotides long. The record is from RefSeq and is a predicted model, not a curated record. NCBI's taxonomy places the organism in Eukaryota, Metazoa, Chordata, Ascidiacea, Phlebobranchia, Cionidae.